This is a non-coding RNA of Jaculus jaculus (lesser Egyptian jerboa), 275 nucleotides long. Lineage: Eukaryota; Metazoa; Chordata; Mammalia; Rodentia; Dipodidae. The record is from RefSeq and is a predicted model, not a curated record.
GAUCUGUAGUCUUGGACCCGCGCUGGGUUGGUGGUACCCUAGAGCACACCAGGACUUGCAGAAAAAGCAUACUCCAGAGGAAGCUGAGGCAUGCCUGCUCCAGAGCCAGCAGUUCCAUGUGCAAUUUUCCUCUGAUAGGUCACAGUACUGUUGCCACGGCGAUGAUGACCACGCCAUGUCAUCAUCUAUCCACCAACAGUAAGAGAAACUUUGCAGUCAAGAUAUUGGCUAGCAGACGGAGUGGGUUCUGUUGGACACUAAGCACUGCUACAAAG